CUUCCCUAGCAACGUGUAUGUGAACCAGGAAGUACUUUCUGUAUGCUCUAGCUCUAGCCUAGCUGCGGUUAGCACAGAGGAGUGAAAGUGACUGCACGCAAAGUUUGUCUCGGUUAGAUUUAUGAGUCCAUCUACCGUCCAUGUGUAUUUAACACAUGUCAGGCAACGUCGUGGUUAGCCGCCAGUUCUGUCGCUGGAGAUGAGUGAAAGUUGUGUGCCAUGAAAAUGAUUUUCUUAACACUGUCCGAUAAGCCAUGAUAGGCUUAUCAAGUUAUGCAGGGGUUAUGGAAAGUCUAAUGAAUUCUGCUGAAGAGCAGCAACCCUCCACUCCCCUGGCCAACUCGUGGUCCCAAAUACAGGAAUCAAGCAAGAAUCAAACGCCAAAAUGUGUUGGUGGAUUUGUUUUAGUUCAUGCAGGAGCAGGAUACCAUUCUGAAUCCAAGGCCAAGGAGUACAAGCAUGUGUGUAAAAGAGCCUGCCAGCGAGCUGUGGACCGACUCAAAGCCGGCGCACUUGCAGUGGAAGCAGUGGCCGCAGCUUUGGUUGAACUUGAGGACUCUCCUUUUACAAAUGCCGGCAUGGGCUCCAACCUUAACUUGUCAGGGGAAAUUGAAUGUGAUGCGAGUAUCAUGGAUGGGAAGUCGCUGCAUUAUGGUGCUGUAGGGGCUAUAAGUGGUAUUAAGAACCCGGUCUUGGUUGCUAACCGUCUACUGAGUGAAGCACAGAAAGGGAAACUAUCAGCUGGGAGAAUACCACCCUGCUUUUUAGUGGGGCGAGGAGCACAUGAUUGGGCAGUCAGCCAUGGAAUACCACCAUGCCCUUCAGAGAAAAUGGCCAGCAAGUUUAGUUUAUCUGCGUACAAGAGGAACAAGCGAAAGAUGGCGCUAGCAGAAAGAAUUGACACAGGACAUAAUCAGGCGAAGAAAAGACGACAAUCAAGUGGAAAUGAAAAUGGUUCAGGGUGCCUCGACACAGUGGGAGCCGUUGUGAUAGACCUGGAAGGGAAUGUAGCUGCAGCGGUGUCCAGUGGAGGUCUGGCCAUGAAACAUCCUGGCAGGGUUGGCCAGGCUGCCCAUUAUGGAUGUGGCUGCUGGGCUGAAAAUGCCUGUAGUAUGAACUCUCACUCUACAGCAGUGAGUACCUCAGGCUGUGGAGAGCAUCUGAUUCGCACCAUGCUGGCACGGGAAUGCUCUGCUGCCAUGCAGUCUGAAGAUGCCCAUCAAGCACUGCUGGAAGCUAUGCAAAACAAGUUCAUCAGCUCACCCUUUCUGGCCGGUGAAGAUCGUGUUUUGGGUGGAGUCAUUGUCUUGCGCUGCUGCAGAUGUGUGGAACCUCCGCCGUCACAAAAUAUUCAGGGUAUACUGGAUUCAAACCGAGACCUCCCACUAUGGCAUCAACAGCUAAUCUUCAGACAAGUGGAGGCCCUCUGACUACUCCAGUUUGGUUGAUUGUAUUGGUGGGUCUGGUUUCUCUACCUGGAGCUUCUGGGAAUGAUCCUUCUUUUGCAAAGCUUUAUCAUCAUGGAAUUUAACUCAAUCAGAGUGGAGUUUCUAUGGAGUCACACCACAGAGAGCAUGUGUGUUGGCUACAUGUCUGCCCAAGAUAGCAAAGCAAAG
This is an RNA transcript of Etheostoma cragini (Arkansas darter), 1616 nucleotides long. It is a transcript of the gene named taspase, threonine aspartase, 1, with no coding region annotated. The record is from RefSeq and is a predicted model, not a curated record. Lineage: Eukaryota; Metazoa; Chordata; Actinopteri; Perciformes; Percidae. The transcript is spliced from 14 exons.